GAGGCUGUACCAAGAUGUGAUGUUGAAAGCGCUGACAGACUCUGUAACUUUCCCCCUCCCCCUGUGUAUUCUGGUGGAAUUUAUACCGUGCGAAAAUGGGAUCCAUAGUAGUAGAUACUGUAGCUGCACGUUUCCUCGGAGUGUAGCAGUCCAGAGAACAUCAGCUCCACAUGCAGGAGGAAUUUCUUCCAUGCAUCAGGUGGCUUGGAGGAAUCCCAAUUACCGUGGUGGACGUCGUGGACUGCUCCUCAGACCGUCGCACACAAUGACGCGUUACGCGUAGCACAACACAUUGUGCAAAAAUAUCAAUCUUAAUGAAAAAGUAGUCUUCAUAUUUUAUAUCCUUGCUCAAAAUUGGAAAAGAAUCAGCACACAUGUCUGAGUGAAGGAAACACGAGUACAUGAAACCACUACAUUGA
Sardina pilchardus (European sardine) is the source of this 419-nucleotide long non-coding RNA. RefSeq lists it as uncharacterized. The record is from RefSeq and is a predicted model, not a curated record. The transcript has 3 exons. Lineage: Eukaryota; Metazoa; Chordata; Actinopteri; Clupeiformes; Clupeidae.